This 460-nucleotide ribosomal RNA is filed under the name uncultured bacterium. RNAcentral describes it as "partial 16S ribosomal RNA". It matches the Rfam family "Bacterial small subunit ribosomal RNA", at positions 338 to 795 of the family's 1533-position model. The record is from RNAcentral.
CCUACGGGUGGCAGCAGUGAGGAAUAUUGGUCAAUGGGCGCGAGCCUGAACCAGCCAAGUCGCGUGAGGGAUGACGGCCCUACGGGUUGUAAACCUCUUUUGCCGGGGAGCAACGGGCGCCACGUGUGGCGCCACUGAGAGUACCCGGAGAAAAAGCAUCGGCUAACUCCGUGCCAGCAGCCGCGGUAAUACGGAGGAUGCGAGGGUUAUCCGGAUUUAUUGGGGUAAAGGGGUGCGUAGGCGGAGUGUUAAGUAAGUGGUAAAAUUUGGGGGUUAAACCCCUUCCCGCCAUUGAAACUGGCGCUCUUGAGUGGAAGAGAGGUAUGCGGAAUGCGUGGUGUAGCGGUGAAAUGCAUAGAUAUCACGCAGAACCCCGAUUGCGAAGGCAGCAUGCCGGCUUCCGACUGACGCUGAAGCACGAAAGCGUGGGGAUCGAACAGGAUUAGAUACCCUGGUAGUC